CACGUAGUUAGCCGGGGCUUUUUCUUGAGGUACCGUCAUUAUCUUCCCUCAUAAAACGAGCUUUACGACCCGAAGGCCUUCUUCGCUCACGCGGCGUCGCUGCAUCAGGGUUUCCCCCAUUGUGCAAUAUUCCCCACUGCUGCCUCCCGUAGGAGUUUGGGCCGUGUCUCAGUUCCAAUGUGGCCGGUCACCCUCUCAGGCCGGCUACUGAUCGUCGCCUUGGUGGGCCGUUACCUCACCAACUAGCUAAUCAGCCGCGAGUCCAUCUUUGACCGAAUUUCUUGACUAAUUGAUCAUGUGACCAGUUAGUGUCAUUUUGGUAUUAAUCCCAGUUUCCCGAGGCUAUCCCAAUGUCAAAGGCAGGUUACUCACGUGUUACUCACCCGUCCGCCGCUAAUCCAUUUCAUCUUCACCCCGAAGGGUUCUGUCGAAAUUUCAUCGCUCGACUUGCAUGUGUUAAGCGCGCCGCCAGCGUCGUCUCGUAGCCACGGAGUCGUAACUACCUACUCGUACGACGUGACCC
Molecule: ribosomal RNA, 523 nt
Filed under: uncultured bacterium
Lineage: Bacteria
Description: partial 16S ribosomal RNA
Source: RNAcentral